RNAcentral lists this ribosomal RNA (99 nucleotides) under Verticillium longisporum. The record is from RNAcentral. Lineage: Eukaryota; Fungi; Ascomycota; Sordariomycetes; Glomerellales; Plectosphaerellaceae.
UACCUAUUGGAAAACUCGGGAUCCCGUCCGCUCUCCCAGCGAUAAACCGAUAAGGGCCGGAUCAGUAGUCGGGUGGGUGACCACCGGCGAAUACCUGGU